This 517-nucleotide ribosomal RNA is filed under the name uncultured human intestinal bacterium. RNAcentral's name for it is "bacterial SSU rRNA". It matches the Rfam family "Bacterial small subunit ribosomal RNA", at positions 8 to 521 of the family's 1533-position model. The record is from RNAcentral.
AGAGUUUGAUCCUGGCUCAGGAUGAACGCUGGCGGCGUGCUUAACACAUGCAAGUCGAACGGAGAACCCCUGACGGAGUUUUCGGACAACUGAAGGGAAUUCUUAGUGGCGGACGGGUGAGUAACGCGUGAGGAACCUGCCUCGGAGUGGGGAAUAACAGCCCGAAAGGGUUGCUAAUACCGCAUGAUGCAGUUGGGCCGCAUGGCUCUGACUGCCAAAGAUUUAUCGCUCUGAGAUGGCCUCGCGUCUGAUUAGCUAGUUGGCGGGGUAACGGCCCACCAAGGCGACGAUCAGUAGCCGGACUGAGAGGUUGACCGGCCACAUUGGGACUGAGACACGGCCCAGACUCCUACGGGAGGCAGCAGUGGGGAAUAUUGGGCAAUGGGCGCAAGCCUGACCCAGCAACGCCGCGUGAAGGAUGAAGGCUUUCGGGUUGUAAACUUCUUUUAUUCGGGACGAAGCAAGUGACGGUACCGAAUGAAUAAGCCACGGCUAACUACGUGCCAGCAGCCGCGGU